Molecule: ribosomal RNA, 207 nt
Filed under: uncultured bacterium
Lineage: Bacteria
Description: partial 16S ribosomal RNA
Rfam family: Bacterial small subunit ribosomal RNA
Source: RNAcentral
CGUGUAGGCGGCGGGUCAAGUCGAGUGUGAAAGCCCCGGGCUCAACCUGGGAAUUGCGCUCGAGACUGGUCUGCUUGAGUUCGGGAGAGGAGAGUGGAAUUCCCAGUGUAGAGGUGAAAUUCGUAGAUAUUGGGAAGAACACCGGUGGCGAAGGCGGCUCUCUGGACCGAUACUGACGCUGAGGCGCGAAAGCGUGGGGAGCAAACA